Paramuricea clavata is the source of this 772-nucleotide non-coding RNA. The record is from the annotation of a GenBank genome assembly. NCBI's taxonomy places the organism in Eukaryota, Metazoa, Cnidaria, Anthozoa, Malacalcyonacea, Plexauridae.
UCCAGAUGUACAAAAAAUUUUCAGGACAUAUAAUAAUUUUUCCGAAAAUACAGUUGUUUUCCAAAUUCACUUUCUCAUGUCCUGAGAAUUACCUGAAUUCCCCUGAAAAUCUUCUGCAAAUCUACUUAAAUUUACCUAAAAGUGCACUGGAAAUCUACCUGAAAUUCCUCAUGAGCAAUUAUCAGGGGUGUUGCACCCCCCCCCCCCACCAGUGAGUUUCACGCAUUCACGCAAACACUCUCUGAUUUAUUGUUCGUGUAUUUCAUCUCCCAAAAUUUUGUGCAUCAUACUAUAGAGCAUUUUGCUGUUGUCAUGGUCUAGCGUGGUUCAAAUUUAUGAAUUUUUAUCAUAUAAAGUAUAGUGUUUUAUGUACUAUUUAAAACACGAGUAGGAGUGCAGCCGAGCGUUAUAUAUCUGAUAAAACACGACAACGAGUAUUUUGAAUAGCUUAAAAUACGACUACAAAAGACUACUAAUUAGGAUGAACCAUAGUAUAAUCAUGCUAAUUAAGAUGAACAAUUAUAUAAUGCCACAUGUGUUUUAUCAGAUAUAAAGUCACUCCACGUGACAUAUUAUGGCUGACAUGUUUGCCACAAGGUUUAUGAAUUAUUAAUGAGUAUUUUAAAGAGAUUUUGAGCACUGAUAAAAAUGAUAAUCUCACAUGUGAAAUUAUUCAUGAUAAUCUCACAUGUGAAAAUUAUCGCCUUUUCAAUUAUCGCUUUUCUGUAAAAAUUAUCGCUUUUCAAAGACUGUCCUUUAUAUAAUAAACAGA